Molecule: antisense RNA, 43 nt
Filed under: Hyphomicrobiales bacterium
Lineage: Bacteria; Pseudomonadati; Pseudomonadota; Alphaproteobacteria; Hyphomicrobiales
Description: ctRNA_p42d
Rfam family: ctRNA
About the family: This family represents a group of ctRNAs (or counter-transcribed RNAs) from p42d and related plasmids. ctRNAs are small, highly structured, antisense sequences which are involved in negative regulation. Members of this family are known to bind to the mRNA of repC causing translational repression.
Source: RNAcentral
AGAAGGGCUUCCGGACGUCGUUUCGGGGGCCUUUUUCUUUUGC